GUUGCAAUUAUCCGUCAUCCUCGUCAUGGUGAAUAUGCAUUUGGUUUCAUCACAUCAUCUGUCAUCCUUCAGAGAGAAGAUGGAGAUGAAGAGUUAUGCAGUGUUUAUGUCCCAACAAACCAUCUAUACAUUGGUGACAUAUUUCUGGUCAAUUCUGAUGAGAUCAUAAGACCAAACUUGUCUAUUCGGGAAGGCAUAGAGAUCAUUGUUUCAGUUGGUAUGACAAUGCCACAGCUGAUAUCUUCUGUAGAAAGGAUUCCUCAUCAGAGCAAUAGGAUCCCUCUAAGCAGAAUCGUAUGAAGGCACUGAAGCUUUUUAAUUCAUGACAUGAAUGGCUGACAAUCUUAAAGGUGACAAAGAAAGUCACCUUUUGUUUUUCCUCGGCCAGGCUUACAUAUGUAGAGAUUUAGGUUCUCAGAGUCUACAGGUGAAACUAUAUAAAGUCAGUAUGACUAUACACGUGUCUUCCAUCUUUUAAACUUGCUAAAGUAAAGAAAGUGCUGGGUACUCCAGUGUGAAUCUGGAUAAAGGCAGUCAUAUUCAUAGAAUGUGCCAAAUAUCCACUUUUGUUCUGUACAAAGGUUGACAAGAAAAGCCAAACACAUCUUUUACUUUCUAUAAAGAUUCACUCUCUCUAUAUCUAUUUUUUCCUUCUUGCUUGCAUUAAAACGCGCAUAUAAGUCAUUUCUUUCUCCGCUGUGCUGUUGGGGGUAGUUUCUCAGAUGGUCCACAAGGAAGUUUCUGCCCAGUCUCCCUUUCAAUUCUGCUCUUCAGCUCUCUUAGUAUCCGAAUUUGGCCAAGCUUCUCAGGUGACAAUUUCUCCCAGUAGAUACCUUGAGGCUUGAGGAUGGUUGUGUUGGUGAAUAUGACUCGAGUGGGAGUGCAUAUGAUGUCAACAGGAACAUCAUGGAUCAACAAUUUCUCGACCGGAAUAUCAUCUACCAAUUGGCAAUCAUGCACUGCAAGGGCAAUGUAAGAGCGAGAGGGUGAAGCGCCAAAAUAGUUGAAAUAUGAUAUAUAGAAUAUAUAAUAAUUAAAAUCAAAUAAAGCUGUUGAUGGAUUACAUACAACCAAAUAACCAACUACAUUGUACCCGUGCACUACAUAUAAGGAAUUACCAUUCAAUUUCUUCUCUACCGUCAUACAAAAUGAUCCUAUGAUUAUAAUUUGAAAGAAAAUUACUGACCUCAAGACACAAUGUUAACUUAAUAUCUGUUGCUCAAUAUGACAAAUUACAUGAAAUCUAGCCAUUGUGUUGCUUAAUGAAGAGAUAGCAUUGCAGCUUUUACUAUCCUCCAGGCUCCACAGCACGAAGUUAUUUUUGAGAAUUUUGGUUGACAAAUUUCUUCUUCUUUUUUUUUUUCUCUGUAAAUUUAAACUAAGAAAAAGAAAUGAAGCAUCUGCUUGAGGUAUUGAGAGAAGAGGGAAGGAUGGGAAGCAGGAUCCAGAACAACUGUUGAACCUACCAGAAGUGACAACUGGUGUCGAAUUAUCAAUGGCACCCAUAUACCGCAGCAUCCCAUAUUCAAGUUCUGCAAAUCCCUGCACCCCAAAUCUCUUUCAACGUCACAGAAUCUUCUAUAGUAAAACCUUUAACCACUACUCUGAAAGUGGAGAUGAUUUUUGAAACUGCAUUACGUUCAUAAUGCUGAAAUCAUUGUAUCUUGUAAUGCUGAGCCUUAUUAACUAAGACGUUGACAAAAUGUCACAAACUCAUCCAUGGAUUAGAGACAGAAACCAUAGUCCAAGACAGGAUAAUAAAAGGAUCAAGAUAUACUGUAGAAUAGAAGAUGAUAUCACCUCUCCUUUGCCAAGACGAGCACCUGUGUUUGGAUCAACAGCAACUGAACCAAUGACAAUUACAUCCACUUUGAUCUUUUCAUCCAAUCCAAUUGGCCUUCCAUACUUGGCAACCCCCACAGAGGUGCAUGCCUCAUUAAUGGCAUUAGGGGGCAACAUAUUGGAUUCAAGAACAGAGAAAAACCCUGUCCUCAAACGGGGUUGAGGAGUCAACAGCUUCUUUCCACCUGUGCAUGCAUGAUCAUCAGCUUCUCAAUCAAAAACCAACAAAAAGAAAACAAUCAACCUUGAUUUACCCGGUUGGAAACUAAUGAAAAUAAAUAAACAAACAAGAAGAACAGAAGAAAAAACUAACCAGAGAGAGUGAGAAACCUGACUUGCUUUUGAGGAGAAUCAGGGUUUACCUUCACACAAUCCGCAUUCAGGAACACCUCUAACCCAGCCAACUGCCAUAACCCGACCCAUUAACUAGUCAAAUUCACUAAAUCGAAGCAAAUCAGAAAAUUGAUACGUUAAUCAUUUAAGUUACAUUCUUAGCAGCAGCUGAGGCGCCAACAAAAUUGGGGAUACGAUGAUGAACAGGUCGCGGGUUCUGGGCAAAGUUACGUGCCUCCAUAAAAUCCCAAAUUCUCUUGCGGAUGACCCAUUUCCAAGCUUUGGGAUCAUCCUCUGUAUCCGCCUCCAUCUCUCUCUUAGAAGUCUGGGCCAUGGCUUCUCUUGCCUUGGAAUCGAGUCGUAAUCUCUGGGCCUCGAAAGCGUACUCGUCGAGAACGGCGUCGUAUUGGGGACGUUGUGUACUGGUAAUUUCCAGCUUAGGAUUGGAACAGAACAAUCGCUUAACAGAAAUCCUUGUUGAAGAAGAAGAAGAUAGAACAUGAAGCUUUUGAAAAUUGUUAACAGAAAAGGGAGCAGCUGAAGCCGAUAUUCGGGUCAGUGUUGAAUCCAUCUGUGAUCUAUCUACUUUCACUGUCCACUCAAAUUAUAUUAUAUUUUAGAUUAAAAAAAAAUAGUAUUAUCAAUAAAUGGUACUAAAUUGAUGACAAUAUUGUGAAAUUUUAAAUUUAAAUUUUAAUAACUAAAUAAAAAAACAUUGUUAAAUAAAAUUAAAUAUAACCAUUUGAUUUCCUAAUAAUCUUUACGCAACUGAGUUGGAACACUUGGGCCACCUUUUCUCUAGAGUUCAUCCGGAGUAAAAUGAAGAAAUUGUCAAGUUGUAAUCAUUUCCUG
Molecule: unclassified non-coding RNA, 3027 nt
Filed under: Hevea brasiliensis (rubber tree)
Lineage: Eukaryota; Viridiplantae; Streptophyta; Magnoliopsida; Malpighiales; Euphorbiaceae
Source: RNAcentral